CAAAAAAAUAUAUAUAUAUUAUUAAACUAUUCGAUGCAUGCCAAUGAUUGAAAGCACUGUUCUUUGGUUCGUAACUCAUUGGAAGCACUUUGUGGCUAAGGGCAAGCCGAACCCCGAGCGGGGAUUAAUCCCACACUUCGGGUGUAGGGACACUUCGUGGUAUUUACUCAAAAAAAAAAAAAAAAAAAAGCACUGUUCUUAUCUACAAUGCAGGUGUGAAUUGAAUCUGGAAGUCACAGAGGUGCCAUGAGUGUUUUGGAACUAAUGUCAAGGGUCACCAAAAAAGAAAGAAUCUAAAGGCAUCAGAUUUACACCUCGUCACGGGAGGGCUUAUCUUCAUAAUCAAAGCAGAAAUUCAACUAGCAAGUAAAGUCAAAGUCAAAUAUUGAAGUGAAGAAAAUGUGUUGAUGAAGAAGCCAUUCUAACUUUAAGUGGCUUUGAAUACACCUUUUAAUUAAACCUCAUUAAGAAGUUUCUGAACGACCAAACUCAUUCAUGUUGGCAAAUUUUAUUUCUCUGCCUUCUGUCCCUUGCAUAAUUAUUUCAUUCCCAACUUUCCUUUCCCUUGGAUUUAAAGCAAGCAAGGCAAGUAGAGAAAAGAAAAAGCAGAAAAGACCCACGUCCAUUAAAACAAUGAACUUUAAAGAAGACAAGAAUUGAAGAUUUUAUCAGGAAAAAUUGACUCACUGAUGAUCUCUGAGCUUGAAUUUUCAGCUGAAGCACCCUCGGAAAUGGUCGAAAAUGAAAAUCCACCAAACUCAAAAGUACCAAAUGAAGUAAGAGUAGCCAGAAACAGAGAAGUGAGACAAACUCCACACAGAAAACCAACCACACAAAUUUGGCAUGGAAAUGAACUCCCCAUUUGCAAAGCCUUCUGAGAAACAGCUCUCUCAAGCGACUUCUGAUUUAAUGGUUCCAUUUUCACCUUUAAGGAUCAAUCAAAGAACCCAAGAGCUACUCUGAAGCUUUUUUCACCGGAAUUUCAUGGGACGCCAACCAACUCAUCACUGCAAUCACAUGAAGCAACUUAACUUUUAAUUAUCUUAUUUUCUUUUUUACUUUCUACUUUUGUGUAUGAGAUUUUCAUAAGCAGAGAAACACGAGAACAGGGCUUAUGCCAAUCUACCAAAUGAAGGAACAAAAUCACAAAAAUUGUCAAUAUCAACCAUCCAUUUCACCUUAAACUUUGGUGGCCCACCUUCAUCUUCCUUCCAACUGCAAAAAUAAAUGAAAUUUCCUAUCAGAAAAGAAAUGCAGAACUCGAGCCAGAAUAUUGCACUAGUGAUGGAAAAUAAAAUAUUACUAUCAUCACUGCAGUAAUAAUGAAAAAUCAGCAAAUUCAGUAAGAUAGACAUUCGAAAACCUUUUUUUUUAAAAAAAAAAAAAUCAAAUUUAAUUUUGCUGGUUAAUAUAAGAUUAGUAAAGACACCAUUAAAUGAAGAUAGAAAUUGCAGAAGCACAGGGACCAAUUUUACAUUUUAAAGUAAAAAAUAGAGAAAUAAUAGAGAGAGAAAGUAUUAGAAUACCAUGAAUCGCAGAAUAUCUUCUUGUAUCAAGUAAAAGGUAUAGUUCACUUGGAUGUCAAAGAGAAACGGAAGCAACAGAUAGGUAACAAAACCAAAACGCAUAAAGAGAGCCCAUGCAGAGAGACACACGCCACAAAAGAAGCAGCAAACAGUUUAGAGAGAGAUGAGCAUGGCCAAAAGCAACACCAAAACAGAAAAUUUGGAAAGAGUUUUAUCUUCAAUUAUGUGUACCUUUGAGUAAUUGAGAAAAAAGAACAAAAUUGAAAUGGGUCUCUCAGCAAAACCAAGAAAAUACAAUACAGUACUUUGAGAGAGAGAGAGAGAGAGAGAGAGUUUGUGACUUUGUUUGUGGGUGUGAAUUUGUUGAGUUUCUCAAGAAGGAAACAGACAUCUCAUCCUCCGAACAACCGCGGCCAUCCACUCGACGUUGUUAAGAUUUUUAUGCAGUUUAUGCGAAGAGACUCUGUCAGUAUCUAAGAUAGAGUGAUGCACAGUGGACACAUGGCACAAACCCAACUGAAAGAAAAAGAUGGUGUUUUUAUGGUGCAGGUAGAACAAGACCUUUAAUUUCUAGCUCAUUACCAAAUACUAACUGCCUCCCAAAAACUACGUUUCAUGAUGAACCUCUCUCAUUAUUAUGAGUUGUAUUUGGAUGAUAAAGUUUUGAGUGCAAAUUAGGAAAAGCUCUUAGCUUGUAAAAGACACGAAUCCCCUUUGAUUAAUUGAUUCCAUCAUUUAGUAUGUUCUAGACUUGACACUUACACUUGCUCCUUCCCCACUUUCUUUUGGUCCUAUGAGAGCUUAACAUUUAUUGGGUAUUUGGCCCAAAAAAAUAAUAAUAAUAAUAAUAAUUAGUUGGUGCUCUGUAUUCUUGAUUUCCUUUGAUUAAAUUAUAAUUAUGUAGUUGUUGGCAAGCAUUCUAUUACCGUCCCUUGCUAAUCAUGCAUAUCUAACAUUGGAGAACUUAUUUAUUUUAAUGAAUUGAUGAAGACUCAAAAAUGAAGUCGUCGAGGGGUAGUAUAGUAAUUGCAUGUGCGAAUAGUUUAUACUUGUACAUCCAAUUUGAAAAGUCCAAGUUGACAUGAUGAGAUGCUAAUCUUGACACAAGGCCAGCCACUUGGUAAAUUUCUUUUUAUCCACCGACACGUACAGCAAAAAGAUCCCAAAACUAGCGUUGGACCACUUAUUGUUGAUAAUAAUAUUAUUAUUAGAGGAGCUGAAAAAAUUCGUACUUGUAAAACAAUUAAUGAAUAUAUCCAGUUGCGAGAUAUAUGAAAACUCCAUUUUCACAAGACUAAGACUUCGUCCGGGCUGCUCGCCUCUCACUUGGGAUUUAUUAUGUAUCGUUUCUCUUGUGCGUGUUUUUUAAUAUUUGUUUUAAUUAUCAAAUGAACAAUUUUAUUUCAUGAUCAAGGAGUCAAGAACAAUACGUAUCGUUGUACGCUAGAUUAAGAAAAUACUAAUGAUACAAGGGUUCUUUUUUUAUUCAACCAAUGAUAUAAGAAUUAAUCAAAUUAAUUAGUGCGAAAGGAUUUCUCAUAUUGCACCUGAGUUCGAAUUCUCUUUUUUAUAAUUUAAAUUAAUUUAAAAUAUAUUAUCACUUGUAUGAAAAAUAAAUAAUAAAAAGUUACCUUUUACCAACCAGAGAAAAUAGAGCACUUAUCUGUUGGCACUCGACGACAUUGCGUUCCAUGACAAUAAACAUUUUUGGAGGACCUACUUGUGGAUCCCACCGGCUUAUUUGGUUUUCGAAAAAUAACAUAUUCUUCGCGAGUUACGAAAUGGCUCUGUCUCCUCUCCUUUCGUUGUCAGUUUGUCACACUGAUACAUAUGUUAUUCGGUCCCACGAAAAUAAUUGUGCAAUUUAAAAAGCAAGGACUAAUUUAAUUGGCAUUCGUGUUCCACUAACUUUCAGAACAAGCCGCCAAUUAGGCUCCACAGGCCCAACACAACUGCCUCAACUUGGGCUGGAUGAAAAUGAUACCCCCUCUCUUCUCAGCCCACCCGAACUAACUUCUCUUAAAUGAAGCCGAAGAAAACUAAACGGUCAUAUUUUCAAGCUCCAGAUUCUUCAAUCAGACUCUCUUGUGACCGUUGCGUCCUCAGUCUUCUUCUCUCUCUCUCUCUCUCUAAAGUCUAAACCAUGAAGACCGCUUUCUAAACCACUCUCUCUCUCUCUCUCUCUCUCUCUCUCUCUCUCUCUCUCUCUCUCUCUCUUGACAGCAAAAGGCAUCCGAAAGAAGUCAGCUGUAAAAGCAGCUAAUCAUGGGGUGCUUUCCAAAAUGUUUCACUAGUUGUAAGCGCCGAAAGCUCAAAAAAUCAGUCACCGUGACUCCAUUUAAACACCAACAAGUAAGCAAAGCAAGCCCUCCAUAAUCACAUUUUACUAAUUGUAGUGUAGACUCUGCUAUUCCCAAUUUGGAUUUUACUUAUCUGAGAUUAAUUUGUUGCAGAGCUUUGAAGGUACUGAAAAAGUUGUUCAAAUUCAACAUGCUGAACCCACUAAGCUAGAAGACGUUUUGGAAGCCAUUAAACUCACCAAAGAAUCAAAGUAAGCUUUAUCCGUUAUUAUAGCUUCGAUCUUGAUUCUGUUUCUUUUUUGGGAGCAUCUGGUUCAUUGGGUUUAUGCCUUUGUGGGUUUUUUAUUAUACAUUUUUUUUAAAAGUUGACAUAUGUGGGGAUUUAUUUAUGGUCAUUAAUAAAUGUAUACAGAGAGGAGGAGAAUGAAGAACAAUCAAAGAAUGAUGCCAAAAAGAAAGUUACGUUUGAUUUGAAUACCAAGGUCCAUCAUGAAGAAUCAUCUACCACUACCAAGGAAGUCACCAAUAGCUUGGUGGAAAGCUCCGAUGAGAAACAGGAAAUACAAAAAGAGCUGGGACCGAUUCUGGGUUCCAUUAUAUCAAGCGUAGCACCAUCUCAUCCGUUAAACAAAAGAUACGAAAAUUGCGAAAACAAUGAGGAUGAAUAUGAAGAUGUGGUGGACUUAGAUGGAAGUGAUUUGGAUGCAGCUGAUGAUUAUGAACAAGGACAUGUCGAUGAUGAGUUUGAUAGUAAGCAGCAAAUCUCAAUUCAAGAAGAGUCUUCCGAAUCAUUGUUUUCGCUAUCGAUAGAUUCCAGGAAACAAGUUUAUGAUGCUGAAAUAGAUGAGAAGGAGGUCAACAGUCCAAUGCCAAAGCUCAGUGCCUCUAACCAGGAAGUUAAUCUAAUAGGAUCAAACCAAAAUGCUAGGGAUCAAUCAGUGCUGAAGCCCAUUGAAAAUCUUACUCAAUGGAAGGAGGUCAAACAGAAAGCAACUUCCACAGCUUCAAAGCACCAAGAGAAGGAGAACAUAAAUACAGAGCAAGAUUGCUAUGUACCCUUUAGCCCAGAGCCUACUUUAAAGCUGUCAAAACACUGCCCCAGGCCAAAGUCCGAUGACCAGGGAACUGGGGUUGACACUAGCCUUUCAAGCUGGUUGGUUGAAUCUGAGACCACGCCCAAGUCCAAUGCCAGUAACAAUUCUGUGGGGAACAACUCACUCUGUGAGAGAGUGAUAAACUCACCCGGAAGCCGCGAAGAUAGGCCAAUUUUAGGAGCUUGGACAACUGAAGAGAUAAAACAGUUGUCUGCUUUUUCUACCCCGAGACGGUCGCGAAGCCCAAGUCCGGACCAGAUACCGAUCAUAGGCACUGUUGGGAGCUACUGGUGUCAUACUGGUCAGACCAUGGAUUCGGACUCAAGCUCUUCUUGCAGCGGAAUGCCAAGAACAGCAGGGAGAAACAGAGAGGUAAGAGUAAAGUUUUUCUUUUCUUUUUGAAAAAAAUGCUAUGUAAUUACUUGAAUUGUGGGUUAAACGUUGUUUGAUUGGCCAAGAACAGCAGGGAGAAACAGAGAGGUAAGAGUAAAGUUUUUCUUUUCUUUUUGAAAAAAAUGCUAUGUAAUUACUUGAAUUGUGGGUUAAACGUUGUUUGAUUGUGCAGGAUCCGAAAGUGAAAUGGAAGUCUACUGCAUUUGAGGCAAAAUUGGAGAGAGCUUUAGACAUGGGUCUACUUGAAGCUUAGCUACAAAUUAUAGCAAUGGUGUCUGAGAUGGGAUAUUCAGUAUUUGUGAUAUUCAUGUAAUUUUGAAUUCCAGGGGUCUAAAUUUUAAUCCGGUUGUCUGCUAGAUAUUUAUGUAAUAUUGUUAUUUUUCUAAUUGUUUUUUCAUAAGGAAAUUAUCUUACAUUCAAUAUUUAACUAAUUAAGAAAUGAAAAUUUCAACUAAUAAAUAAACUAACAGAGACGAACUCGUCAGGGAAAUACAAAAAUUGAACAUGCGUAAAAUGGUCGAAUCAAUUGAAGGUGCAAUUUGUACGUCAGUAUAAGAUCGACCUGUGACAACUCAUGAAAAAUAUGUAAUGACUAAAACAAAGAAAUUUUCUUACAUGGGAAGGCAAAAGCUAAAAAUCUCUGUAAUACGGUACUAGAACAAAAUACUCAAUACAUCAUUCUUCCAUUUUCCCCCCAAGACUACAGUUUACCCAAGAGACGAUACAACAUUUAUUUGUUUUGACAGUAAUCACUCCCCUAUCUUUGCCUUAUAUUUGAAUCAGUUACAAGAUCCUCUGAAAGGGAAAUGUGCUAUUUCUCCUUUGAUUUUUUUUUUAAAAAAAACAGACAAGGACCCAAACUGGGUUUUCUACACAUCGUGAAAGAGCCUCCUUAUCUGGUCGACGGUGGUUGGCAUCAAUGUGAUUGGACAUCGCUUAUACUGUGUCAAUAACGACCCAUAAGAAGACAUUCAGUUACACGCUAUGGAAAAACAACAUAACUUGAUGCAUGGACAACACAACCACUGAUUUUCUUUGCCUGCUUGGAAUAUGCAGACAUAGUGAUGUACUUGACAGUAUGCAAUAUCAGUUUAUAUACUUCACUCCGAAGGGCAGCCUUUGUCAGACUUUCCCAAGGAAUGUGAAAGUGUGUUUAUCCACACAAAACAUUGACUAUUGAAAAUUAAAAUUAACGGCUUCUGAAGGCCUCACCUGAGAAACAUACUUGAAAAUGCAGGCAUAGCAAAAGACAAACCCAGAAACUGUAAUUACAGAUGGAUUCGCACGCCUCUGUGAACAGAGAGGACAAAGAGUUCUAUCGGGUGGCAGUGGAAUCCCCUCUUUGGCAACCUGUUUACAGUAAUGGAUUAGACUUGAUUACUUGAGCAACAUACCAACUCUUUGAUUGAUUGGAAGUGCUAUUAAAUUCUAAAGAAAAUGAUAAAUUAAAGCCAAGAUGGAUUGGAAAACACUUCACCUGGGGAGGUGGAGGUGGAGGAGGUGGAGGGUAUAUGGUUGGAGCUGACAUUCUCUCUUCAGCAGAUUGGUACCACCAUUCCAUCAUCUAUGAGUUUAAUUCAAAUCAAUGAAAGUUACAAUGAGAAUCAUGUGAUAAAAAAUGACUAUGAAAACUUGCCACCAGUCAAAUUAAAGAUUAUUAUGCUUGUUCCAUAAUUACAAAGGUCUUAAUAUCACAUAUGGGUAAGCCAUGCUUACUUUAAAAAAGAAUACUGCUGCAAUUAACCCAGUCUGUGCAUAAUCGAGCACUGUGUAUGUACCACUGAGCAAUGCUCCUUGUAAUGCCUGUAUGGUGAUUCAUGUCAGAUAGCAAGAAAUGAACAACCAAGGUCAAUCCAAACAUACAGAAGUGCUUCCUCAUAAUCUUUACAUAAUUUGUACUUUUUCUCGUGGAAUAUUACUAAUCAAACACAAUAAUAAUAGCAGACUACUUGCAUAUGUAAGGUCAACUACUAUCAUACCAUGUUUCAAAUCAAUAUGACUAAGAAUCAAACUAAAAAGACUUGAUUAAAACAAUUAACCAAACUAACCAAAUGUAGUUAUACCUUCAACCAUGGAGGACCACGAAGUCUCUCACGUUCACGGCUUCUUGUUUUUGAAAUUCUAGAAGAUGUAUCCAUCUACCUUGACACCAAAAAAUUGUUUUUCAACUAUUGAAUCAUAUACACAGAAACAAGAAGUCAUCACCAAGCCACGCCAACUAUCAUUUUUCUUUUUCUUCUUUUCAAUCUCAUAAAUGUGACAAAAUUCAACGGAUAAAAGUAUAUCGUACCAAAAAUCCCUGACUAAAUGCACUGAAAAAUAUAAAAGGAUAAAUAGAUGAGAACCAAAACAAAUUUUUGCCACACAAUACCAGCUCUUGCCCUGUAGCUCGACAGACAUGAAUCCCAAGAGCAUGUAAUCCUAAGGAAUAAAAUCCAGUUGCAUCCAACAAGUAUAACAUCUGAUAAGCAAAUGAAAAUCCUGCAUCACCAGUUCUAGGUUAGAAUGUAUUAUCUAACCAGACGUUCAUAUGGUAAAAUACAGAUAAAGGACCUAGAGUACUCCUAAGAAGAGAUCAACAGAUAGAUUCACUGUGAAGAUGUAACAUCGUACAUUGAAAACAUAACAACAUUAAGGGGACUUUAGAUAUAUAAUCUUUUAAUUGGCUAAGUUUAAAGAGCUUCAUGUCAACAUUAUCUAUUGUAAAGAAAAAGAACGCAAGUACUAGUCUUUUGAAAGUAAAACUUCUAUAAUUACACAAAUUAAGUAACUUCCCUCAGUUUCUACUGCUGGUUUAUGCAUAACAUGCAUAUCCUCACAAAUAUGUUCGAGCAAAAAAUUAAAAACAAAAUCCAAAUUGAAAGAUGAAAGUCAUUCUUCGCAUAUAAAGGUCAGCAAGAAAGAUGCACAAACCUUCAGUACUAGCAUGUAGCAAAGGAUAGCAAGCACCUAUAAAUUUCUGGAUCUUUCUAGUCAAACGCGUUCUAACUGAUGAUUCCAUAUCCAAAUUUCCUCUUGGAAUAACAGAAUCCUCCCCUCUAUCAAAUAUAUCAGCAUCAUCAAAUCUUUCAUCAACGUGUCCCCAUAAGCUUGCUUGAAGUCUGGCUUCCCUUUCUUUAUUAUAGAUUGAAUGCAAUUUCGACUUAAAGUAAGGCAAUACAACCUAGUACAUAUUCGUUCACAAGUCAGUCCUCUUCAUAUAGCUAGACUUAUAAGACAAAAGAAAUCUACAUAGCCCUAUCUUGCAAAAACACAAUAAGCAGGAGACCGUACCAAAAAUACAACUGACAGAACUCUUUGGCGCUUUUCUAACCCAGAAUGCUGAAUUCCAUCACCUGGGUUCAGGCGAGGAUCAUCCUUCAUGGCUUUUAUCUUCACAGCCCGCCUUCUUAAUCCAUAUAGAGACUCAGAGAAGGAAGCAUCUGAAGAGAAUAGGACCCAGAAGACAAAAUUAUCGUAGAUGGUAACAUUCAUUGAUCAGUCAGAUGCAGAAUAAAGUAAAUUCGUAACUGCUGGAGCAAAAUAUGAAUCAGAAAACCUGUAGUUCUCAAGCUAUGAGUUUCGAGAACUAGCAUGAGCAACGAAAAGAAUUCGUCUUCAUAGUCUAACACCCUAUGGAGGAAGGGUCUUCGUAAAGCUAAUACCUGUUGAAAUUAACAUUUAGAGAUAAGAUCAUUCUCAGCCUACCAAACCCCAGAAACAAAGAGAGUUGUAAACAAUCAAAUUUUUACAAAAGAGAAAAAAGAAGAAGAGAGUAGAUAGAGGUAGAGCUUACGCCGAUGGAAUAGGUGAGAGCGGCGCGAAGACUGGCAGGGAGCUGCUGAGCCGCCGCCAUCUCGAAGAAGGUGGGACGAGUCCCUUGGCCUCCCACUUGAAACAACAUCUUAUUUGCUCUCUCUCUCUCUCUCUCUCUCUCUCUGUGUUCCUGUUUCUUGAGCUUAAUAAAUUAGUUUUGGGUGCAGCAGAGUAAGGACCUACCAAGUAAAAACAAGGUUGAGAACUUGCGAUGCGAUGCGAAAUUUGACAGUUUGUGUUGGAAGGAACACAACACCGCCACAUCCAAAUUCCAAUUACAAAAGCAUAUUGCCCAGCCUAUUUGUUUUCAGAGCAAAAAUAAAAAAUAAUUGGUUUUCAGAGCAAAAAUAAAAAAUAAAAAAUCAUUUGGUCUUUCUCUUUUCAUCCUUAAUUUGUUUUCGUUUUUGUUUUUUUUUCAAGAAACACCACAUAAAUUAUUAGGACUAUGUGCAUUUGUCAUCCAAUUAAAAAUAAUUAAAAAAAAUUUCAUGAACCUCAAGAACCAUUUAUUUAAGAUAAAAAGCCUUAAAUAAAUAAAGCGUUUAUUUAUGGGUGUGGGGUAAAGGAAAUAUAAUCAAUUCUUUAAUUCUUGAGUCGAUGACUAUGGCCAUAUUAUUGAAUUUCAGAGAAAACGAAACAGGACUGUUAAACCAUCCAUUAACAAUGAAUGUGAAUGCAAGUGCUUUACAAGGAAUGUGUUCUAGACAUUUUGGCUGGAGUUUUAUGUAUACAUACUGUUCACAAUUGGGCUGCAUGAUAGAUGGGGUAUACCUAUACAUACUGGGCUGUUCUCAUGUAGGCCUACACGAUUAUUGAUUCUCGUUUUUGAGAAAGAAAAAGAGGUCCUUCACUUUUGAACAAAAAGGAAAUGAAAAAAAAAAACAUGACACUAAUUAUUGAACUGUUCAAAUUCAAAACCCAAGUACCCGCCAAUACUAACAUGAUUUAUAUGCUAAAGUCCAAAGUAAACAAAAACUAACCCAUAAUUAAGCGAUUGCUAAUAUUAAUUAGUGCUAAUUAAAACGAGACUAUAACUCCAACAAGAACAAGGUCCUCCAAAAUGGUUGAGAUUCUUUAUAAAUGCAAAUCCUCAAGAUCCUUAUUAACUUUCAGAUUCCUUAAAAUGGCAUUGACACGAGGGGAAUGAUCCACGUUAUGAACAAUGAAAUUUACUACGGUCUUCUUGAUAAAUUUUAGUCCGCACUGUGAACCUGAUUUACCGAAAUAACGAAGAAUUAACUACCGUUUGUACCUGAUUUACCGGAAUACGUAUUGAUAAGAGAUGAACAAGCUGCUUGGCCUUGACAAUUAUAUCCGGGUCAGUAGUCUUGGUUGUUUUGAUUGUUAUGUAACCAAAAACCUGACCAUGCAUGAUUCAAAAUAAAACAAGUUAAUUAGUAUCUGCAUCCAAUCAUACAUAAUUUGAAUCAACCAUCGAUUGAUCAAGAGUAGAUAUUUCAAAAACAACAUUAAUUUAUUAUGACAUACCACAUCCAAUCUGCAUAUGAUACCAUACUCUUUUAAAGCAGAUUUCACAUUCGGCCAAGCUUCUUGCAAAAAUAUUGCUGCACGAAACAAUGCAACGGCUCAUAUUGAUAAAGUAUUUGUUCUUUUAUAUAACUAAACCAUUAAUAGUAAUGAUUUAAAAACAUAUGGGAUAAGUUGUGUCGAAAUCCUUUUAUUUCUAGAGGUCUCAGACAUGGUUGUUUUCACCCAUCAGCCAUCACCCACCCACCCCAACGAUAAAAUAAAGGGAGUAUCUUCAGGGGUAACAUGGCAUUUAGGGAAGUGCCUAGAGAAAGCGAUGCCUUGAGGCUUUCCAUCUUCGUUUAGCAGAGGCUCAAACCUCCUAUUAUACAACAUUUUGGAUAUGUCUGCAUCGCGGCUCCAACGGACUAGCUGCAAAUCUAUUUCUGCACAAAACAAUGCAAAGGAUCAUCUCAUAUUCUCAUUGGUUGGUGCAUGCACAAGUAUUUGUUCUUUUGAAUAGUCCUUAUUAAAAAUCUAAGAAUGGUGAAACUUUGAGAGACACAGAGAGAGAGAGAGGGCAUGUACCGAAGCCUUGAGGGCAGCGACUGAGGAAAGAGGUGAUUUCAGGAUUCUCAUCUUCGUACAGUGAAGGGCCAAACAUCUUCUUCAAAAUUUGGACGAUUUCUGGAUUCUCAUACCACUGCAUUUCCUGUAACGAGGACGUGUCUGUCGUUUUUGCAGUGGAGGGCGAAAUUAACCUCUUCUUCACCAUCUGGAGGACUUCUGGAUCCUCGUACCACUCCACAGAAAACUCAUAGUAGCCUUCUUUGUUGGUCUCCAUGUCCAUGGUCGCUCGCGCUGUCGGCCAAGAGAAGAAGAGAUUUAGGGUGGAUUUAAGGGAGAUGGCGGGAAUAUUUUGGGGUGGAUUUAUAUAAUUCGGGGAUGAGCCGUGGUGACUCGGGCCGGGAUCAGACGGGGCUGUUUUGGGCCUAGACGGGCGAGUUGAGACAUCCAAUUUCUUUUAUAAAUUUGUUUUUGAAAGAAACCUCAGCAAGGAGGCAUAGUGAAAAGAGACUUCAGGCAGUGUCACGAGAAAGCUCUUAAUAUCCUCAUAUAUGUUGCCAAGACUAGAAUGGUACAUUCCCGGAUUGUUCACCGCUGCCGCCACCACCACCACCAAGGAGUCCCCUUCAAACAUAGGGCGCGCCAAGCCCUCAGCAUGCUCAGCCGAUGAUACUAUUACUGCAAACUUCGCCAUAGCGCCAAAGGCACCAUCAUCCUGUCGCGCAACUAUCACAAGGUGAAUAGUUUAACUUGCAAACACACUAAGAGCAAAAUCUUAGUUAAAACUUCUUCCAUAUUUUUUAUCUUGAUUCUGCCAUAUUUCUUCCCAACCAACACUACCCCCAAAGUUCUUCUAUCUCACGCUGAUUUAGAUUUCUCUCUUGUAAACAAAAACGAGAGAGAUUCCCCGACUUCACACAAAAAUUACAAAAUCAUAACGAACAAAUUCAACAAUUUCUUUUUCUUCUCCCUUGGGAUGUUUUUUUACCAUUCAUCAAUUAGAAUAUAGAUAAAUUCAUAUUAUCAAUGGUGCCGAAGAGAAAUCUAGUAUGUGCUUCAAAAAGAUAAUGGAAGAUUAAUAUCUCCUAAUAAUACUUACUGUACAUAUACAUGCAUGAUACUGAUUGUCAUAUUUGGGAAGAAAAAAUAAUCACACUUUUGAACAAUUUCAUCUAAUAAUUAAUAACAAGCAUAUCAUUUUGCAUGAAAUCACACUUUUGAACAAAGCUUGGAAAACAAGAAGCAAUUUUGAGAUUGCAUAUUUAAUAUAAAUAGUAUCUUAUUGUUCAUUGGAGGUGGUGAUUAAAGUCCAAAGUGCUAAGUAAAAAUUAAUCCAUAAUUAAGUGAUAAUUGUUUGCCAUACAGUUUUGACUAUACUAGGCUGGCUAAUAUUUGCAACACAGUGCUAAAGUUGUUCCAUUUAAAACGAGACUAUAACUCCAAGGUCCUUGACAUUCUUUGUCACUCGAAUCGAAAGGAUCAAAAUAAUUAAUAACUCCAAAAUUCUCGAGAUUCUUCAUAAAUACAAACCCUUAGGAUUUAUCAUCGCUUGAAAACUCGUUAAAAUCGCAUUCACAAGGAGAGAAGGAUCCACAUCAUGAAAAGAAUCCACAUCAUGAACAAUGACAUCUACCACGAUCCUCCUAAUUACUUGUAAUAUGAGCGGUGAACCUAUAACAGCAAUGAUGUCUAUCUGAUAUUCAUAUUCGGAAUAGCUUGUAAGGGUUGCGCGAAAAAAGAUCUCCAAGGCUACCAAUCCUUCAAGUAUCUGCAUCUCAAUUAUAUUUAUUUUCAAAGUUGAGACAAGCGACAAACAAAAAGAAUUAAACAAUGUACCUAGCUAAUCAAGUCACAGACCAGUAACUAAAGCAUGAUUUAGAAGAAUAUUUUAUGCACCUACAUGUAAGUAAUGCAUGAGGCGUCCCAGCAGCACCGAAUAUUGCCCCUGCACCCUAUUAUUUUUCUUUCGUUUCUCGCAAAUAUUUACUUACAACAUGCGGGUCUCUUGCAUGUAACUUCUAGGAUCUGUUCAACGGAUCCCGAGCUUCUGCAUUUAGAGACCGUGCAUAUACCUGUAUUUCGUUAUGGAGAAUGAUGCACGUCAUCAUAAUGCCGAAGCACCUCUUCAUCAAACAUAUGAGCAGACGCCCUAAUGAUUGCCCACCGAGGAGGAUACCAAAACACAUUUUCACAUCUUUCCUAUAACCCUCUUGAUAGGUAGCAAAGUAUUUUUCCUUCUCCCAUUGGAGAUGCGGAAUUGUUUUGACGAAUGUCGUCCACCUCAGGUAAAUUUCGUCUGCUAGGUAGUACCUACAUGAGUAGAUGAUAUUGUUGAUUCCAUAUGCAAUCUGAGGGACUUGACCUCUCAACACAUUGUUGAACACCGGGAAUUGAUCGAGCACGUUAAUGUCAUUUUGAGAUCCAGCAACUCUGAAAAAGGCAUGCCAAAUCCAGGUAUCGAAUGUAAAAUUGUAAUCAAAGGAAGAAUAUUUGAUUACUGGAUGAUUUUCUCUUUACAAUGUCAAGGGUAUCUAUACCCAGGUUCCCUACAAUCAAGAGACUAAUAAAGGAAAGCAAAUCAUGUACAAUCAAUUACAUAUAAUUUGGCUAAUCACUCAAUCCCUAAUAUAUUAGGAUUUAGUUGACUUCUCAACACUCUCCCUCAAGUUGGAGAGUGAAUAUUGUGAACUUCCAACUUGCACACCAUAGCCGAAAAAUCUUCUUUUCCCGAGGCCUUCGUAAACACGUCUACUACUUGUUGUUGAGAUGGAAUAUAUCUUGUAACCACUGUUCUAUCCAGAAUUUUAUCCCUGAUAAAAUGACAGUCGAUUUCAAUGUGUCUAGUUCUGUCAUAGAACACUAGAUUGGCAGAUAUGUGCAGCGCGGCUUGGUUGUCACAGUGUAAAGUAGCUGGUCCUGGGUCUGGGAGUUGUAGGUCUUGCAAUAGAUAAUGCAACCAAGUAAUUUCACAGCAAGCACCUGUCAUGCACGAUAUUCAGCCUAUGCUAAAGAAGAGAUACUGUUUUUUGUCUUUUUGUUCUCCAUGAGAUCAAAAAAUUUCCAAGAAACACGUAAUAGCCACUUGUUGACCUUCAUGUUAUUAGACAUCCCACCCAAUCUGAAUCACAGUAUGCCGUCAACUUCAUCUCAUUUCCAGCAGGAAAGAAGAGUCCUUGUCCUGGGGUACUUUUCAAAUACCUCAAAACUCUUAUGGCGGCAUCUAAGUGUGGCUUGCGAGGCUCAUGCAUGAAUCUACUGAGUAUAUGUAUUGAAUACAUAAUAUUAGGUCUUGUUACGGUGAGAUAAAUCAGACGUCCCACCAAUCACCUAUAUUUUGCUAGAUCAUGAAGUAUCUCACCUGUAUCAUAAGAAAUAUUGGAAUUUUGUUCCAUUGGAAAGCUUACUGGACGUGCUCCCAAAGCUCCUUCAUCUUUAAUAAUGUCCAGUGCAUAUUUCCUUUGACAAAUAGAAAUACCUUUCUUGGAACGUGAGACCUCAAUGCCCAAAAAAUAUUUAAGAUCACCAAGGUCUUUGAUCUUAAAACGAGUAUUAAGAAAUCCUUUGAGAGCAUUAAUGGCAGGCAAAUUAUUUCUUGUAAUCAUAAUGUCAUCGAUGUAGAUCAAAAGAGCGGUGAAUGAUUUGCCAUUUUUGCAGGUAAAAAGCGAAUAAUCAACUUGUAUGGCUUCAGUGAACUUAGAAAACAAUUGGCGAGAUGCUUGCUUCAAUCCGUACAAGGAUUUGUGAAGGCAACAUACCAAAUGCUCCCCCUGUCGCUGAAGACCAGGAGGAGGUGACAUAUAGAUUUCCUCAUGUAAAUCGUCAUAGAGGAAUGCAUUAUGGACGUCAAGUUGAUGCAAAAACCAGUUGUGAGCGGCGGCAAGAGCAAGAACACACCGAACAGAAACCAUCUUGGCAGUAGGAGAAAAUGUGUCAUGGUAGUCAAGACCUUCAGUUUGAGUGUAUCCUUUGACCACGAGACGAGCCUUAUAGCUCUCAAUGGUGCCAUCGGAACGAUGCUUGAUUUUAUAGACCUAUUUGCAUCCAAUGGGUUGCUUCCCAGGAGGAAGAGAAGUGAGGGACCACGUCUGAUUGGAUUCCAAAGCCGCAAGUUCAGAUUGCAUGGCCUCUUGCCAGUGUGGAUCAGAAACAGCCUCUGCAAAAGUGUUAGGUUCCACUGGCCGACUAAUAUUGGUAAUGAAAGUAAAGGGUGAUGGUGAGUAACGGUGAUAAGAAAGAAAGUCAUAAAGGGGAUAACGAGUACCUUUGGUGCGACAUGGCAAGGAGUCCGAAGAUUGGUCAAGCGUGGGUAAAGUAACCUGUGAGCAAACAUAAUCUUGGAGAUUGGCUAGUUUAACAUUUUGGCGAAGAGAGUGGUGGAUGAGGGUUGGUGGUAUAGAAAGAGAAGAAGUUUGUGAUGGGGUUGGUGCUGCAGCGGUGUCGAAAAGGAAAACGAGGGCAGUCGAAAGAGGCCGUCAGAUCAGGUGGGGUGGAAGGAGAUGAAGGACGUGGUAAGGGUAGGUAUGAAGAUAUACAUGGAGGAAAUGACAAAUCAGAUAAAGAAAGAGGUAAAACCGAAGGUAAAGGUUCCGGGGGAGAGGAAGAAGGCUGAGUUUGGAAAGGAAAAUGACUUUCAUGAAAAACGACAUCGCGACUGGUGAAAAAAUUUCUGGUGGUAAGAUCAAAUAAUUUGUAGGCAUUUUGACCAAAAGGGUAACCGAGAAAAACACAUCGCUUGGCUCUAGGAUCAAAUUUAUGGGAAGGUUGAUGGUGGCAUAGGCUAAACAACCAAAAACGCGAAGGUGGGUAUAAGAAUGAGAUUUGUGGUACAGCUUCUCAUAUAGGGAUAUCUUGGAUAAAAGGGCAGUGGGUAGACGAUUGAUCAAGUAAAUGGCGCGAGAACACACUCUCUCCAAAAGGAAAUAGGGAGAUUUGCCCGAAACAUAAAGCUCUAGCCAUCUCUAUGAUAUGUCGGUGCUUGCGCUCUACAACACCAUUUUGUUGUGGUGUGUAGACGCAAGUAUGUUGAUAGAUGACCCCAUGGUCGUGAAAGAAACGACGCAUGGAAGAAAAUUCACCUCCAUUAUCAACGCGUAUUUGUUGUACUUGAGUAUUGAAUUGUGUUUGGACAAAGGCAAAAAAAGACUUAAGCAGGUUCUGUGUUUCAGAUUUAUGUUGCAUGAGAAAUAACCAUGUGAACCUAGUAAAAUCAUCCACAAUAGUUAGAAAUAACGGGCCCCUAAAAAUGCAGUUUUAUGUGGCCCCCAAAUGUCGCAAUGAAUAAGAGAGAAUGGUUUAGAAGAGCAAAUAUAACUUAAAUUAAAAGGUAAUCGAGUUUGCUUUGCCAAUGGACAAACCUCGCAAGCAUUAUUUCAAUAAUGAAAAUUUAAAACAUUCUUAGCUAAAAAUUUUAAACGAGAAGAUGAUGGAUGGCCUAAAUGGCUAUGCCAGAGGUGAGUUGAGGCAUGAGCAUGGUUGCAAGAUGGUUGGAGGAGGGAAGGCUUGUCUGACGCCAAAGAAACCAGAUAGUAAAGACCUCCUUGCUGUUUACCCAGACCAAUCGUCUUCCUCGUAGCCAAGUCCUGCAAAAUGCACCAAUUAGGAAAAAAAAAAAAGAAUGGAACAAUGAAGUCCUUGUGUAAGUUUGCUUACUGGCAUCAAAUUAACUUUGAAGCUAGGCACAUACAAGACAAUUUUUAAAGAAAGAGAUGAGUUGAGAGAGGAAUUCCCAACGGAAAUAAUAGAAGCCUUGUCAACCACUAGGCAAUACAACUGGUAGAAUGAAAGGGUUGUUAUUUGUGGACACAAAAGAAUGUGAGGUGGAUGUAAUAUGAUCUGUUGCGCCACUAUCAAUCAGCCAGCACUGUAAAGGUAAAUGAUAAUAUGACAAACUUGCAGAGUUUGCUUGUGGCUCUUUCUUAUCAUUCAUCAUGGUAAGAAUCUACUAAUACUCACUGUCAAAAAGGUUUGGCAUGACAGACUUCAAUUCUUGCAUACUGGGAUUGUUCUGCCCGUGAUUGGCAGAGAAACUUGAGUCUUUCUUGUUUCUGUUGGAUUUGUGCAGUCGAUGCCUAGGAGGAUAGCCAUGAAGUUUAUAACAAGUAUCAAUUGUGUGAUGAUCCCAAUCGCAGUGAGUGCAGUGAAAAGGCUUGAGAGUAGAAUUUGAAGAUCCCUGGUGUUGACGAACAACCAUUGCAACAGGUUCCAAGGUAGUAUAAGAAGUCCCCAGUUGUCGUUGCUUCUCUUCUUGGGAAAUUAAAGAAUAGAUGUUGUGUAUGGAUGGUAGUGGCUGCAUAAGAAGAAUAUGUUCACGAGAAGUAGCAUAUGAAUCAUUCAGACCCAUAAGAAAUUGCAUCACCCGAUUCCUCUCAUCGCGUUCAGCGUGAUCUUUCAUGGCACCACAGGUACAAGACGGCACAUCGCUGUAUGAUGCCAACUCAUCCCAUAGUCCCUUAAGUCUUGUGUAAUAAGCAACAACCGACAUUUGAUCUUGAGUAAGGGAGGCAAUGUCACUUUGGAUCUGGAAAAUUAAAGGAACGUUGUUUUGAGAGAAAUGCUCCUUCAAAUCUUCCCAUAUAUCGUGAGCAGUGUUAAAGUAGAUGACGCUAUCAGCUAUAUCUUGAUCAAGGGAAUUCAAGAUCCAAGACUGGUUCAUAUCAUUGCAACGUUGCCAAAGAGAGAACUCAUCAGGAUCAGUUUUCUUUGAGGGCUUCUUGACAGUACCAUCAACAAAACCAAGUUUGUUCUUGGCACUCAAGGAGAUUCACAUAGAACGACACCAUGUCCCAUAGUUGUCUCCAUUCAAUGGUUUGGAUACAAGAACCAUGCCAGGAUGGUCAGGAUGAUGAAUGAAUAAAGGGUUGGAAACAUCAGACUUGUUUCCAUCCUUGGAAGAAGUUUCAACUUCUUUGUCAUUAGCCAUGGCAGAGAGCUAAUGAAAACAAAGAAGGAGGAAGCUGGGAUUUUUUACGUUAAAGAGAAAAAAAAACAGGAGCUAGGUUUUCUCCUGCUCUAAUACCAUGUAAAAUUGUAAUCAAAGAAAGAAUAUUUUAUUAUUGGAUGAUUUUCUCUUUACAAUGUCAAGGGUAUCUAUACCCAGGUUUCCUACAAUCAAGAGACUAAUAAAGGAAAGCAAAUCAUGUACAAUCAAUUACAUAUAAUUUGGCUAAUCACUCAAUCCCUAAGAUAUUGGGAUUUUGUUGACUUCUCAACAUCGAAUGAUGCAACGGCUUCCAGAAUUAUAAUUUUUUGGCCCUUCCUAGUCCCAUAAUCUCCUUGCCAGGAAGUUGGACAAUUCUUCCAUUACUAGUGCAUGCAGUCGAUGCUUCCAAUCAUGUCUGAAAAACCUCGAGGCUUGGCUUUUUGUAGAAGCCUUUGGAGGUCCCUAGGUGUAGGUUUGCAGAGGUAAUCCCUUGUGUAGAGAGUUUCGAUUACAUUACAGAAUCUGACUAAGCUCUCUAGGAUAGUGGAUUUCCUCAUCCUAGCAAUCUCAUCCACCUGGUCUGCAAAUGUGCCAAACGCCAGCAUCCGUAAAGAAGCUGUAAGUUUUUGCUCUAGAAGAAGACCCAAAACCCCAGUAGCAUCAUAUUUCUGAACGAAAUAUGUGUCGUAAUUGCAAACAUGAUGCAUGAUUUUAUUGAACAAAUGAGGUUGCAUUCUAUGUAUAUUGCCCUCGAAAAUCAAAACUAGAGUAUAACGAAUUUGGAAUAAAGUAAUCUUUCAAGAGAUUCUUACCCCUAGAGUGCCUAAGUCUGUUUAUGUUCGGGCCACAACCGAGUUGUGAACCACGGUGGUGUUGGCUUGAUUGAUGAAGCAUACCCACUGCCAUGACAACUUGAUCAUCAUCUUCUUCCCACUCCUUUUCUUCUUUAGCUCGUUUAUGCAUUCUUUCUUGAUUUUCUCGCUCGGCACUCUCCAACAACCUCCUCGUUUAAGAUAUUUAGAGUAGAAUGUGUUUUCUAAAAUCUGAGAAAUGAAAGGAUAGAAGGAUAUAGUAUAAAAGGUCUGAGUUGAGGCUAUAGUUUUAUAAAGGGAUUUAGAAGAUAGAGAUGGCACGUGACGCAAUUGUAGCAACUGAAAAUCUUAUUUGAAAUCUGAUAUUUGAAUUUUAUAAUAAAUAUGGACACGUGGCAACCGAAAAUCUUAUCCGAAAUAUGAGAUAUGAAUUUUAUAAUAAAUAUUGACACGUGGUAAUCGAAAAUCUUAUCCAAAUUAAUCGUUUACGUAUAAAAAUAAAAAUAAUUUAAAGUAAAUAGUAGUUGCCCUUUACCACGGCAAUUGAUGGAAAAACUUACCUUUUACAAGGACUAGCACUAUUCACAUAAAUAGUAACAAUACUUACCUACUUUUGCCCUUUGCCAUAACAAAUGAAUAAAAAUGCUUGAAGCUCAGACUAAAUUUUCUUGUCGGCCCAGCGCAUGUGCCAGAUGGAGGGAGCAAUCAUGUGUGGGUGUGAUAACCAAAAAUAUUCAUCAAUUUCUUUUUCUUCUCCAUUGUGAUGCUUUUUUUACCAUUCUUCAACUAAAAUAUAGAUAAAUUCAGAUUAUCAAUGCUGCUAAAGAGAAAUCUAUUAUGUGCUCCAAAAAGAUAAUGGAAGAUUAAUAUAUAGUACUUACUGUACAUAACAUACAUGAUUCUGAUUGUCAUAUUUGAGGAGAAAAAAAAUAAUCAUUCACUUUUGAACAAUUUCAUCUAAUAAUUAAUAGUAAGCAUCUCAUAGUGACUCAAAAGCAUAAAAAGUAAACCCAUCAUUCUAGGUGGUGGUGACAUUUCUCAACGUAGAAAGAAAGAAUCCAUCCCUAGUCAGAGAAUGCUAAUCAGGAAACUCAUGGACUAAGGUUUUAUGUUUUGGUCAACCAUGACCUAUAGUUUAAACCACCAAAACAGGGACGGGAGAACUCCUGGAGCAGCAAAAUGCAUAAUAAGACUUCAAUACGAAGCACAUCAACUGAUUAUGGCGCUGCUUCAUCCAUUCCUGGCACGUUUUGUGGGCUGGGUACCAGACUCAACAUCACCUGGGUGGUCAGGCUCCUCUUGACUUACGGUUUCUUGUGCCUUCUGCUUCUUCCUAUUUGCAUCUUGUGAACCUUCUUCCAAGGGAGUGCUCAUACUACUAGCGCUUAUUGGUGUUUUCCCAUGGUCAUGUUUGGAGGUCUCUGGUUUAUCCUCUCCAGGGGAAGGACACACAAGAUUUGAUGGUGGAGUAGCGUGGUCAUCCACAGUGGAUGAUGCGGCCUUCACCCUGCUGUCUUCCAUCUUUCUCUGUUGCUCAAACAUCUUUUCAAGGUACUUUCCUUGUUCUUCAAUUUGCAACUGCAACUUUCUUUGGUUCUGCAAGAAUUAAAUAUGACAUCAGAACAAGUGAACAACCAAUAUACACUUACUCUCACCCUCCCCCAUGUGUGUCCACAUCUCUGUGUGUGUGUGUGUGUGUGUGUGUGUGUGUGUGUGUGUGUGUGAGUGAGUGAGUGAGUGAGAGAGAGAGAGAGAGAGAGAGAGAGAGAGAGAGAGAGAGACGCAUGGAAUCAUCAACAGAAUAUUUAAAUUAUUAUUCAAUAAAACUCAUUUAAACAAGAAACAAAACUGAACUCUCAAGAUGUAAAUUACACUGAUUCUUUACACCCUACCCAGUUCCCAACAAGCAAACAGUUGUUACACAUUCUAAACAGAAAAUAGAGAAGGCAAUCUGUGUCUUCCAACUGCAUACCUCAAGUUGUUCGUGAAGCCGCUUUUGAAGCUCCACCUGCAACCGCAAUGCUUCAGUAAUCCCCAUACUCCUGCAAGAGGUGGACAACAAAAGGUGAAGCCAGAUUUCAACUUAAUACCUCACAAAUAGAUUGUAGUACAGAUCUCUCGCAGAAAAGCUUAGCAUUCCCAGUUGCAUAGGUUAAUAAAUGAAACUUUUGUGCUAACAAAGAGAAUACAUGAAACUUUUAUAACAUAGUACAGCAAUGGUCGCAAACUAGAGGGGAUAAAUGAGUAAAGGAAAAGAAAAGAGUGAGAUGCUUAUGCUUCAAUAUUCUGGGUGAAUGAAAAAUACAUACGCUUUCAAGUCUAGAGAAUUUGUUUCUUCAACCGGAGUUGAAACUUUCUCACAAGCUCCUGGCACAAAAGAAAUAAAGAACAUAAUUUACUCAUAACUCAAAUGCCUGAUUCUUUUACAAAGAGAUGUCUACAUACACACAUAGACAUACACAUACGGAUCCUCUUUUUCAGACAAGAGAGCAUUAUAAAGACAUAAUAAAGGAACAAAAGUGAUGUAUAUUUCGUAAUGUAACACAAUAACAUAGGAAGUGAGGGGAAACAGAAAUGUAUAAAUGAAAGUCAGCUCAGUAUUUCUAAGAGUUUGAAUAAAAAUUUAACCAUCAAGCAACACAAAAGGCUGUUCAUAACUACCAGGAGGACUAAUUUAAGAAAUCACCUAGAAAUCAAAACAUUUUUAUAAAUGACAAUUUGGCAAGCCAAAGGUCUCAAAGAUGUUUCAAGCAAAACACCUAAUAAAUAACAGAGGUAAUAUUUACCUUCUGAUGACUCCGGUUUGUAUCUGGCUGUUCUAUAUUUCUGAAAUUUAAAAUUAAAAAAAUUAAAAAAAAGGUCCAGAAAAACAAAUAAAACAACCACCAACUUGUCAUAGGGAACUAAUCGAGGAUAGAAAUAUAUUCACAUACCUGUAAAUGGCUUUUUACAUGAUAGAUUGUCAAGCCUUCAACUUUCAUGAGGUUUAAAAUACCCUUAGGAGUAGCUCCUGUUUGUUAGUUAUUAGCCAAUGACAAAAGAAGCUGUCACUUCUCAUACCCAUGGAAAUAAAGAACUACAACAUGAUGACCAAAAACAAAACAUAGUAGCAUACUAGCAUGUGUUACCCACGUUCACUACCAUCAAGCUGGUUCACAGCUUCCACAAAGGCUUCAUGAAGUUCUUGUGUCCAACGCAUUCUGGGUUUGGUUGGAGGUGCAGUGGAUAAUGUUUCAGGGCUGGGACGAAAUUCUUCAGAUUGAACUGGCUGAUGCUGUUGAAUCUGGGGCGGCUGCACCAGGAUAUCCGAAUAUGGGUUCAACACCUGGCACAUCAUUUAAAGUUAUAAGUAAACACAGACAGACUAGCCCCGAAGUAAAGUUCAAUGUGAAAAUUCAAUUUUUUGAAAUCUCUAAAAGAUGUGUCAAAACAAAAUAGUUGCUAUAUAUUAAGGUCACAAAAACUGCUGACUAGAAACAAAAUAUCAUACCACAUUAUUAGUCGCUAAACAAUAAAAUAGCCAUGAACUUAUCAAAAUGUUUUAGCUCUAUUGGAAAUACUGGCUGUAACCAUCCAAAUAGAAGUAUCAAAACACACCUUUGGUUUGGGAUCCACUGCAUCAACAUCAAUGGGAAGCUCCCAGUUUGGGUCCAGAGCAUCAUCAAAGGAAAUUAAUGGAUCCCAAUCAGACCAAUCGGUCUUCUCAGCAUGAUCCUCAGAUGUUAUGACACCAGUACUACUAUCCACCAGGCCAGUCUGGUCAGGGACAUUUUCAGGGAAAUGAAGAAAUUCCUGAAGUGAAUCUGGGUACCAGGAAAUAUCUUUAUUUUCUUCAGAGUAAUUAAUCAAUGCUGUAGGUUGUACUUCUGAAUGGGAAGAAUGGGUCAGUGACAAUGAUUUUUCAUCAACUGGUAAUUUAAAAAUGAAUGGAGAAUUUUGGGAACGACUUUCACAAGGGGAAACUGAGGAAAAAUGAACAUCAUUGGGCCUGGAAGAUGAUGAAAAUAAGUGCCCAGGGGAAGAAUCCUGUGGUAACUUAGAAUAUCUAGUCUUCUCCCUUUGUGAUGUAACCUGAAAAGAAUCUGGCAAUCUGGAAUACUUAUCAUCAAGAGGGGUAGAGAGAUUUGGAAAUGAUGAAGACAUAGCUUUGGAAGACCCGAAGUUACUCAUCUGUUUUGCACCCGAUCUUCAAAUAAAUAGAGCAGUAUGGAUGUUCGUUAUUGUUUGCGACUCAAGUCUGCAAACUAGUGUCUUCCCAGCCACUCCCACAACAUUAUUCUUCAUUGUCAACAAAACAGAAACUACAUAUACACAUAAGGAGAGCUUUAACCACAUUCAGCCUAAUAUUCACAUUCACUAUCAUCCAAUGAGCUGAUUGCUGGUACCUGUGAGAAGAAAAUUACAUACAGAAUGAGGCUGGUCAAAGUAUUUUCACCAUAUCUCGGCCAACAGUGGUAUGAACAAAAGUCAAAGUCGCAGAGAUUGAACAUUUAUUUAUAUGAGUUUAAAAGCAAACUGAAAUUAACUUUUCAGAAGACUUUUGAUAUUUUCCAACCAACCAAAUCUCAACUCCACAAAAAUGAUCCAUAAUUUCAAUCCCUUAAACAACUAUAAUCAAUAAACUCCCACAUGGCAUCAUAAACACGUCAAUAAGCAAGCACAUAACGCAAAAAUAACCCAAAGAGCAAAAGCAAAUGAACUCAACAACGCAAAACCGCAUAUAAUCAAAUUAUCUGUUCAAAAUUAAAGACAGCACAUCACAGAGCACGUCAAGAAAGCACACUGAUUUCCCAUAAUUUCAGAGAAAACAAAACUGAUAUGGAGAUAUAAACAAUACAGAAAAAUCAUCUAUGUAAACAGAAUAGUGGGAAUUGAGCAAUCUUACCCCAGAGUGAGAAAACUGAACCUCGAAUCCCAAAGGCUGGACUUUGAAUCAAAGUUGAAUGCUUUGAGGGUGCAGCAGAAAAGCGAGCCAAAAAAAAAAAAGAAAAAAAAAAAAAGAGGAAAACUAUCUAUGAAAGAUUCUGGUAGACACGGGAUGACAUGACGACGGCUGUUCUCCCCUUGACUUAAUCUCACAUCACAAGAACUCCCUUCCCUCUCACCAGAAAGAGAGAAGAACGUAU
Molecule: long non-coding RNA, 23999 nt
Filed under: Prunus persica (peach)
Lineage: Eukaryota; Viridiplantae; Streptophyta; Magnoliopsida; Rosales; Rosaceae
Description: long non-coding RNA (PPER_LNC006727)
Source: RNAcentral